Molecule: transfer RNA, 76 nt
Filed under: Rhodogorgon sp.
Lineage: Eukaryota; Rhodophyta; Florideophyceae; Rhodogorgonales; Rhodogorgonaceae
Description: tRNA-Met
Rfam family: tRNA
About the family: Transfer RNA (tRNA) molecules are approximately 80 nucleotides in length. Their secondary structure includes four short double-helical elements and three loops (D, anti-codon, and T loops).
Source: RNAcentral
UGGCUCAAUAGCUCAGUUGGUUAGAGCAGGGGAUUCAUAAGCCCAAGGUCGCAGGUUCAAAUCUUGCUUGAGCCAG